RNAcentral lists this long non-coding RNA (858 nucleotides) under Nicotiana tabacum (common tobacco). Its description in RNAcentral is "long non-coding RNA (NTAB_LNC008687)". The record is from RNAcentral. Lineage: Eukaryota; Viridiplantae; Streptophyta; Magnoliopsida; Solanales; Solanaceae.
AAGAAGAAUCGGAGGAAUUAUAGAGACUGUAAUAUUUAUAACAUUUAAAUAAAAUACUAUACUUGUUACAAUAUGUGCCGUCUUGAUUAUUUCUUGACGUAAAUUUAUCGGCCACAUCUAAUUUAUUAAAAUUAUGAGGGAAAAUUCGUUGCUAAUCCCUUGCAAUAAAUAAAAUAUUUAUCUCGUAAAAAGCUAUUACAACAAAAUUUUAUCGUAGUUCUGUUGUAUAACUUUGAAUUAUUUUUUCAAAAUAAUUGGCCAUAAUUCCAUCAUUAUAUUUGGUAAGAAUUAACGCGAAAAAUAAUUUAUCUCAAUAUUUAAGGAAGUCAUAAUUAUGGGAAUUUUACAUGAAAAUAUUGGAGGGAAGAUAAAAUAACAAAAUUUAACUUUCAAUUAUUUUAUCUUCCCUCCAAUAUUUUCGUGUAAAAUUCCCUCUCUCAUCCAUUCCCGCCCUAUAAACCACGAACAAUCUCCUACUUAGAUAAGUUUGAGGUAUCCAACUCUAAUACAACUACAUAGACUCCAAUAAGAAGGAGAAAUUCGUACCAUUUAUUUUCUACUUCUUCUUCUUUUUCUCCCAAUUGCUUUCUGUUAUCCCAAUUAAUGCCAUCCACAUCCAACUAUCGCAGGUGCCAUCAUCCCCGACCUCUAUAACCAGGUAAACCAACUCCUCUCUUUGGUUUUGACUUUCUUAAUUUCUCUACCUAAUAAAAUUUUCUAACAACAUUUACCAAUGUUCUAUUUUUUAGUUUAUAUGCAGGAGUUGAAUAACACAAGGAGCAACUCCACAAUCCUUUGCUGAGAAAAUCGUCUUUUGUUAUAAUCGAGGGCCUUAAUUUAUGGUUUAAGGAAGGAAUU